AGAGCAGCGGCGGGAGGAGGCGGACACGUGGCAACAGCGGUAGCAGCCCGGGCGGCGGCAGCAACAGCGGCGGCGGCAUCGGCCCGAGCCGCCGGCCGCCCUCCCUCCCUCCCGCCCCGCGGCAGCCCUAGCUCCCUCCACUUGGCUCCCCCGGUCCCGCUCGCUCGGCCGGGAGCUGCUCUGUGCUUUUCUCUCUGAUUCUCCAGCGACAGGACCCGGCGCCGGGCACUGAGCACCGCCACCAUGGGGAAGGGGGUUGGACGUGAUAAGUAUGAGCCUGCAGCUGUUUCAGAACAAGGUGAUAAAAAGGGCAAAAAGGGCAAAAAAGACAGGGACAUGGAUGAACUGAAGAAAGAAGUUUCUAUGGAUGAUCAUAAACUUAGCCUUGAUGAACUUCAUCGUAAAUAUGGAACAGACUUGAGCCGGGUAUGUUCUAGUUUGAAAGCUGUUGUACAAAAUCCUAGUUUUCCGUAUUAUAUUUUCCCCUGUAUUACAUACAGGUCUAACCUCAGGGGCUCUAGUAAGAAAAUGACAGACACCAUCUGCAUAUCUACCAUGUGACAUGCACAGAAUUUGGGCAUUUAUAUGCUACGUUUCUUUUCCCUGAAACUUUUUGAAAGUAGAUGUUAUUUUCUUUUCCCUAUUUUAUAGUAGUUGAGAGCCAGUAAGUGGGAACACCAGGACUUGCAGUUGGCUUCAAAGCCAUGCUUAUGCCUUGACCUUUUGAUGAUAAAUUUUCCCUUUAUUUUUCUACAUUUGUUAAAUAGAGUUGAAUCUUUCACCUAGUUGAAUCUUCAACAAUUCCCAUUUUUGCGCUUUUCCCAGCUAGCCCAUUGCAGUGUGUUAUGGUUAUACUGUCAUUUGUUUAGUUAUUCUAUCAUUUAGUUGGAAAUUGUUUUGUACAAAAAUUAAAGAAACCUUUUCAUAAAAUAGGCGUUAUGUAUCCUUGUUAUGUAGAGGAUUUUGAUAUUAAAUGUGUAACAAAUGUUAUAAAAGUAAAUAGUCUAGGGAUGUCUUAUUUCCAGAUAAUCACUGAAAUGUCUGGGAAUAACUUGAAUAGCAAGCCAAUAUGUAGCAUUUUUUCAGUAAGGCAUCAAGAGACAUGGGUACUGUGGUAUUCUGAUAUAUAUUGGUUUUUGUCCACAGUUCCUGGUUCAUAACUCCCAUAGCCCUUAUUACAGUGGUUUGUUAUAAUGUUGGGUGUGUUCGACCUCAGUGGCAGGCUUCAAGAAACAGGAUCUCUCUCCUGCCCUCCUUUUCACCUGUCGCAAGGCAGGACUCUAAUCUUGUUCCACUUUUCUGAUUUUCCAGGUAGAUAGUGUUGGAAUUGAAUUGGAGGAAACCUUGGUGGUGGGGAGAAACCGCCACACCUUUGCUCACAGAAGUCAUCUUCUGUGUUGAUUGUUGUGGUGUAAGAGUAGAGAAGAGGCCGGGUGCGGUGGCUCAUGCCUGUAAUCUCAGCACUUUGGGAGGCCGAGACUGGUGGAACACCUGAGGUCAGGAGUUCGACACCAGCCUGACCAACAUGGAGAAACCCCGUCUCUACUAAAAAUACAAAAUUAGCCUGGCAUGGUGGUGCAUGCCUGUAAUCCCAGCUACUCGGGAGGCUGAGGCAGGAGAACUGCUUAAACCUGGGAGGUGGAGGUUGCAGUGAGCCAAGGUUGUGCCAUUGCACUCCAGCCUGGACAACAAGAGUGAAACUCCGUCUCAAAAAAAAAAA
Molecule: small RNA, 1720 nt
Filed under: Pan troglodytes (chimpanzee)
Lineage: Eukaryota; Metazoa; Chordata; Mammalia; Primates; Hominidae
Description: retained intron
Source: RNAcentral